AUUGAACGCUGGCGGCAUGCCUUACACAUGCAAGUCGAACGGCAGCACGGACUUCGGUCUGGUGGCGAGUGGCGAACGGGUGAGUAAUAUAUCGGAACAUACCUUGUAGUGGGGGAUAACUAUCUGAAAGGAUAGCUAAUACCGCAUACGCUCUAUGGAGGAAAGCGGGGGAUCGUAAGACCUCGUGCUAUAAGAGUGGCCGAUAUCUGAUUAGCUAGUUGGUGAGGUAAAGGCUCACCAAGGCGACGAUCAGUAGCUGGUCUGAGAGGACGACCAGACAGACUGGAACGGAGAAUCGGUCCAGACGCCUACGGGAGGCAGCAGUGGGGAAUUUUGGACAAGGGGGGGAACCCUGAUCCGGCAAUGCAGCGUAAGUGAAGAAGGCCUUCGGGUUGUAAAGCUCUUUUGUCAGUGAAGAAACGGUUGUGGCUAAUAUCCAUGGCUAAUGACGGUACCUGAAGAAUAAGCACCGGCUAACUACGUGCCAGCCGCCGCCGUAA
RNAcentral lists this ribosomal RNA (500 nucleotides) under uncultured bacterium. RNAcentral describes it as "partial 16S ribosomal RNA". It matches the Rfam family "Bacterial small subunit ribosomal RNA", at positions 30 to 523 of the family's 1533-position model. The record is from RNAcentral.